This 323-nucleotide long non-coding RNA is filed under the name Homo sapiens (human). RNAcentral's name for it is "non-protein coding lnc-EMILIN3-3:1". Lineage: Eukaryota; Metazoa; Chordata; Mammalia; Primates; Hominidae. The record is from RNAcentral.
UCCCAUGCUAUGAAGACCUUUGCUCUGGUCUUCCUGGUGGCCCUGCUGUGCACAGAGACCCCAGGGUCUGUUCUGUUGCCCAUGCUUGGUGGCCUCACACAUAAGCUCUUGCCUGCCAGCUAUGUGCUCCUUCCUCAGUGGGGUCUGGGUCUCCCCGGAAGUGACCAGGAUUGUUGAGUCUAAGAAAGUGACAGUGGAGAACAAGUUCUGCCUUCCCUCCUGCCCCCAUAUGCAAAUUUUGGGCACCAAGAUGAACUUCAAGCUUUCUUAUUGCAAGGAGGACCUCUGUAACACAGUGGGCCAAGUGGCAGGAGGUGCCUGGG